GGGGGUGUAGCUCAGUUGAUAGAGUGCUUGUCUGGCAUAUAUGAAGCCCUGUGUUCGAUCCCCAGCACUGCAU
RNAcentral lists this transfer RNA (73 nucleotides) under Neotoma lepida (desert woodrat). It matches the Rfam family "tRNA". Rfam says of the family: Transfer RNA (tRNA) molecules are approximately 80 nucleotides in length. Their secondary structure includes four short double-helical elements and three loops (D, anti-codon, and T loops). Lineage: Eukaryota; Metazoa; Chordata; Mammalia; Rodentia; Cricetidae. The record is from Rfam by way of RNAcentral.